AUUCCCGGUCCUUGGGCUAUCAUUGGCGACUUUAACCUAAUCCUUCGCCCCUCCGAUAAAUCUUCCCCAAACUUCAACUCGAUUGAGGCCAUGCUCUUCUCUGACGCGAUUCAAUCCAUGCGACUGCAAGACCUCCCCCUCCUCGACCGAUGCUAUACCUGGUCUAACCAA
RNAcentral lists this ribosomal RNA (171 nucleotides) under Triticum aestivum (bread wheat). RNAcentral describes it as "partial small subunit ribosomal RNA". The record is from RNAcentral. Lineage: Eukaryota; Viridiplantae; Streptophyta; Magnoliopsida; Poales; Poaceae.